Molecule: long non-coding RNA, 1274 nt
Organism: Vicia villosa (hairy vetch)
Lineage: Eukaryota; Viridiplantae; Streptophyta; Magnoliopsida; Fabales; Fabaceae
Exons: 3
Source: RefSeq, a predicted model, not a curated record
UUGGCCGUGAAGAUCAUAAACAUGGCGGGUUUGUCUUACCGAGAAGAGGAAAUGUUCUUGGAUGUCAUUUGCACAGCUUCUAAACUGAAGCACCCCAACAUCAUACCACUCAAUGGUUACUGUUUGGAGCACGGAGAGCAUCUUCUUGUUUAUGAUUACUUUGGAAAUUUAACUCUAUAUGAUGCUCUUCAUAGUGGAGCAUGUGAAACACUAUCGUGGAUCCAACGUCUUCGGAUUGCUCUAUAUGUUGCUCAGGCUUUGGAGUGAGUUGCUCUAAAUUUUAGAUGUAGAAUCAUAGUUAAUGCUGUCUUAACUAUAAAAACUCAUUGAAAUGUUUUCAGCUAUUUGCAUUCAGCGUGCUGCCCGCCUGUGGCCCAUGGUAAUUUGAAGUCUGCCAACGUUCUACUGGAUGAAAAUUUGAUCCCUCGUGUUUGUGACAGUAGCUUGGCAAUUUUGAGACCAUUGACGAAGGUUCUAGCAGCUAAAGUAAUUGAUAAGGCUACUGAGACUACAAUUACAGAGAGAGGCUACGCUCCAUCUGACCAUGGCCAAACAGGGUUCAGCAGAAGGAGAGAUGUCUUUGCCUUUGGAGUAUUGCUUCUGGAAUUGUUAACAGGAAGGAAACCUUUCGACGGUGCCAGGCCAAGGGAAGAGCAAUAUCUGUCAAAAUGGGCUUUCCCCAGGCUUCGUGAUAGCGCGAGUUUGGAACAGAUAGUAGAUUCCAGUAUGAAAACAACAAUUUCAUUCAAAGCUCUUUCUUGUUAUGCUGAUCUCGUUUCCCUCUGUAUACAGGUAUUAUUAACACCUAAUCUUAUAAUUCAAACUGAAUAAGAAAUUGAAAAACCUCAGUAAUUGUGUGUUUUGAACAGCCUUCAAGACACCUCCGUCCCCAAAUGUCUGAAGUUGUGAACUCUCUUGUAUCUUUAUACCAAAAGUUCAACUUUGCAAAGACCAGUGUAGCAGACGGUACUGAUCUAUUUGAGAAGUCUCUCCGAUCAGCCGACACACGCUUUAAAAGUUCGCCAACAUUUAGCCAUCUAUCAGCUUGAUGUACAUCAUCUGUUUGUGUCACAGAAACCAGUGAUAUUAAUGAGCUAUAAAUUUGCAGUUUAUGCCAGUUCCAGCACCUUUCUCUGUAAAUAUCCUUCUGUACAGUCCUACUACAUGAGUUUUUUUUUUUUGGUUUUGGAAUAGUCCUACUACACACACGAGAUUGCUUGUGUCGCCUGUGGAAGGAAGCGAAAAACAAAUCAAUGAACAUUUUGUAAAGUUCU